UCAGGAUGAACGCUGGCGGCGUGCCGUAACACGAUGCAAGGUCGAACGGGGUGUCCGGAUCUUCGGACUGGACACUUAGUGGCGGACGGGUGAGUAACGCGUGGGUAACCUGCCUCAUACAGGGGAUAGCAGUUGGAAACGACUGAUAAUACCGCAUAAGCGCACAGCAUCGCAUGAUGCAGUGUGAAAAAACUCCGGUGGUAUGAGAUGGACCCGCGUCUGAUUAGCUUGUUGCGGGGUAACGGCCCACCAAGGCGACGAUCAGUAGCCGGCCUGAGAGGGUGAACGGCCACAUUGGGACUGAGACACGGCCCAAACUCCUACGGGAGGCAGCAGUGGGGAAUAUUGCACAAUGGGGGAAACCCUGAUGCAGCCGACGCCGCGUGAAGGAUGAAGUAUUUCGGUAUGUAAACUUCUAUCAGCAGGGAAGAUGAUGACGGUACCUGACUAAGAAGCCCCGGCUAACUACGUGCCAGCAGCGGC
This 483-nucleotide ribosomal RNA is filed under the name uncultured bacterium. Its description in RNAcentral is "bacterial SSU rRNA". It matches the Rfam family "Bacterial small subunit ribosomal RNA", at positions 24 to 518 of the family's 1533-position model. The record is from RNAcentral.